AGGGGAUUAGUGGCGAACGGGUGAGUAACACGUGGGCAAUCUGCCCUUCACUCUGGGACAAGCCCUGGAAACGGGGUCUAAUACCGGAUACGACACACGACCGCAUGGUCUGUGUGUGGAAAGCUCCGGCGGUGAAGGAUGAGCCCGCGGCCUAUCAGCUUGUUGGUGGGGUGAUGGCCUACCAAGGCGACGACGGGUAGCCGGCCUGAGAGGGCGACCGGCCACACUGGGACUGAGACACGGCCCAGACUCCUACGGGAGGCAGCAGUGGGGAAUAUUGCACAAUGGGCGAAAGCCUGAUGCAGCGACGCCGCGUGAGGGAUGACGGCCUUCGGGUUGUAAACCUCUUUCAGCAGGGAAGAAGCGAGAGUGACGGUACCUGCAGAAGAAGCGCCGGCUAACUACGUGCCAGCAGCCGCGGUAAUACGUAGGGCGCAAGCGUUGUCCGGAAUUAUUGGGGCGUAAAGAGCUCGUAGGCGGCUUGUCACGUCGGAUGUGAAAGCCCGGGGCUUAACCCCGGGUCUGCAUUCGAUACGGGCAGGCUAGAGUUCGUAGGGGAGAUCGGAA
RNAcentral lists this ribosomal RNA (567 nucleotides) under Streptomyces sp. 223. Its description in RNAcentral is "bacterial SSU rRNA". It matches the Rfam family "Bacterial small subunit ribosomal RNA", at positions 86 to 666 of the family's 1533-position model. Lineage: Bacteria; Bacillati; Actinomycetota; Actinomycetes; Kitasatosporales; Streptomycetaceae. The record is from RNAcentral.